ACAUUAAGAUUUAAACAUCUAUCUUAAAAAGUAAAAUAGAGAUAUUAAGUAAAUAAAAAGUACAAGAAAUGAAAAUACAUAUACAGGAAAAUAUAUAAUAAGUAAAUAUGUAAAUCUAUAAUAUAUGAAUUAUAUAUAUAAUAAUAAGUAAAUACACAAUUUUUUUUAAAAAAUGGAAAAAGUUCAUUAAGCAUUAAACAUCUAUCUUAAAAUGUAAAAUAUAUAAUAUAAGUAAAUACACAAUUUAAAAAAAAGGAAAAAGUACAUUAAGAUUUAAAUAUCUAUUUUAAAAUAUAAAAUAUAGAUAUUACGUAAAUAAAAAAUAUAAGAAAUGGAAAUAAACAUUUUAAAAAAAUGGAAAAAGUACAUUAAGAUUUAAACAUCUAUCUUAAAGGUACAUAUAUCUUAAAAUGGUAGUAAGUUAUAUAAAAAUGAAAAUACCACAUUAAACAAAAAAAAAUUAAAAUGCACUCCCUCCGUUUCAAAAUAGAUAAUGUUUUAGAGAGUUUUUGAUGUUUUAAAAUAGAUGAUGUUUUCAUAUUUCAAGGUAUCUUUUAACUUUAUCAAAAACUGUGUAACCAAUUAUAUUUUGUAGUAUGUUUUGUGAUUCGUUGAAUAAUUUUUAAUUUAUAUUUUAGUGAUACCUUUUAGAUAAAAAACAAGUGUUUUAAUAUUUGUGUCCCAACCUAAAACUUCAUGUAUUUUGAAACAGAGGGAGUCAAGAAAGUCCAUACAAAACUCAUUAUUCCAUCAACAUCAACCUCAUACUAUCAAGGAAAACUUCAAAGCACUCGAGCAAAAAAAUGGUUCCACCAUCAACUAUUGCCGUCCCAAAAACCUUUAAUGACUUUGAAGGAGAUUUUUUAUAACAACGAACUUUUUGUUAGGUGGAUUCAUUGUUGGGAAACCCGCAACUUCCAAAAGCCAAACUUAUUCAUGGGAAUUGAAUUGCUUUUCAUAGACUCAAAGGUAUUCUUACAAAUUUAAAUUAAUCUAAUCCAUCAUUUUGUUGUUAAUAUUCAUACUAACUAUUUCAUGAUCAAACUAUUACAGUUAAUAACCAUUCAAGCAUUUAUCCCGAAA
RNAcentral lists this long non-coding RNA (1083 nucleotides) under Brassica rapa (field mustard). RNAcentral describes it as "long non-coding RNA (BRAP_LNC006272)". Lineage: Eukaryota; Viridiplantae; Streptophyta; Magnoliopsida; Brassicales; Brassicaceae. The record is from RNAcentral.